This 456-nucleotide ribosomal RNA is filed under the name Erwinia persicina. RNAcentral's name for it is "bacterial SSU rRNA". Lineage: Bacteria; Pseudomonadati; Pseudomonadota; Gammaproteobacteria; Enterobacterales; Erwiniaceae. The record is from RNAcentral.
GGUAGCACAKAAGWAGCUYGCUYCUCYGGGUGACGAAGUGGCGGACGGGUGAGUAAUGUCUGGGAAACUYGCCCGAUGGAGGGGGAUAACUACUGGAAACGGUAGCUAAUACCGCAUAACGUCUUCGGACCAAAGUGGGGGACCUUCGGGCCUCACACCAUCGGAUGUGCCCAGAUGGGAUUAGCUAGUAGGUGGGGUAACGGCUCACCUAGGCGACGAUCCCUAGCUGGUCUGAGAGGAUGACCAGCCACACUGGAACUGAGACACGGUCCAGACUCCUACGGGAGGCAGCAGUGGGGAAUAUUGCACAAUGGGCGCAAGCCUGAUGCAGCCAUGCCGCGUGUAUGAAGAAGGCCUUCGGGUUGUAAAGUACUUUCAGUGGGGAGGAAGGCGAUGAAGUUAAUAACUUCGUCGAUUGACGUUACCCGCAGAAGAAGCACCGGCUAACUCCGUGCA